AUUGAACGCUGGCGGCAGGCUUAACACAUGCAAGUCGAGCGGGGUGAUGGUGCUUGCACUAUCACUUAGCGGCGGACGGGUGAGUAAUGCUUAGGAAUCUGCCUAUUAGUGGGGGACAACAUCUCGAAAGGGAUGCUAAUACCGCAUACGUCCUACGGGAGAAAGCAGGGGAUCACUUGUGACCUUGCGCUAAUAGAUGAGCCUAAGUCGGAUUAGCCAGUUGGUGGGGUAAAGGCCUACCAAGGCGACGAUCUGUAGCGGGUCUGCGAGGAGGAUCCGCCACACUGGUACUGAGACACGGCCCAGACUCCUACGGGAGGCAGCAGUGGGGAAUAUUGGCCAAUGGGGGGAACCCUGAUCCAGCCAUGCCGCGUGUGUGAAGAAGGCCUUAUGGUUGUAAAGCACUUUAAGCGAGGAGGAGGCUCUUUUGGUUAAUACCCAAGAUGAGUGGACGUUACUCGCAGAAUAAGCACCGGCUAACUCUGUGCCAGCCGCCGCGGUAA
Molecule: ribosomal RNA, 503 nt
Filed under: uncultured bacterium
Lineage: Bacteria
Description: partial 16S ribosomal RNA
Rfam family: Bacterial small subunit ribosomal RNA
Source: RNAcentral